AGUGAACGCUGGCGGUAGGCCUAACACAUGCAAGUCGAACGGCAGCACAGUAAGAGCUUGCUCUUACGGGUGGCGAGUGGCGGACGGGUGAGGAAUACAUCGGAAUCUACUUUUUCGUGGGGGAUAACGUAGGGAAACUUACGCUAAUACCGCAUACGACCUACGGGUGAAAGCAGGGGAUCUUCGGACCUUGCGCGAUUGAAUGAGCCGAUGUCGGAUUAGCUAGUUGGCGGGGUAAAGACCCACCAAGGCGACGAUCCGUAGCUGGUCUGAGAGGAUGAUCAGCCACACUGGAACUGAGACACGGUCCAGGCUCCUACGGGAGGCAGCAGUGGGGAAUAUUGGACAAUGGGCGCAAGCCUGAUCCAGCCAUACCGCGUGGGUGAAGAAGGCCUUCGGGUUGUAAAGCCCUUUUGUUGGGAAAGAAAAGCAGCAGGUUAAUACCCCGCUGUUCUGACGGUACCCAAAGAAUAAGCACCGGCUAACUUCGUG
RNAcentral lists this ribosomal RNA (492 nucleotides) under uncultured bacterium. RNAcentral's name for it is "partial 16S ribosomal RNA". It matches the Rfam family "Bacterial small subunit ribosomal RNA", at positions 29 to 507 of the family's 1533-position model. The record is from RNAcentral.